UGGUUUGAUCUGCCAGUGUGCAUACGCUCUUUUUAAAGAUUAAGCCAUGCACGUGAUAGUUCAUACAUUUAAAAUGUGAGACUGCGGAAGGCUCAGUAAAUCAGUUAUAAUCUGCUCGAUUGUAUAGGUUAUUGGAUAACCGUGGGAAAUCUAGAGCUAAUACAUGUAAAUAGGGGGAUAAUUUCGGUUAUUCUCUGGCAUUUAUUAGACAAUUACCAAUCGUGGGGCAACCCAUGUGGUGAAUCUAGAUAACUUGGCAGAUCGUAUGGCCUAGUGCCGGCGACAUUUCGAUUGAGUUUCUGCCCUAUCAACUAUUGUCGGUAGUGUAUUGGACUACCGAGGUUUUUACGGGUGACGGGGGAUCAGGGUUCGAUUCCGGAGAGGGAGCCUGAGAAACGGCUACCACAUCCAAGGAAGGCAGCAGGCGCGCAAAUUACCCAAUCCAGACAAUGGGAGGUGGUGACGAAAAGUACCAGAUGACGGCCAAAGGCUGUCAAUUUGGAAUGGAAUCAAUUUAAGCAAUUGAUUGAGGAACGACUAGAGGGCAAGUCUGGUGCCAGCAGCCGCGGUAAUUCCAGCUCUAGUAGCGUAUCCCAAAGUUGCUGCGCUUAAAACGCUCGUAGUUGGAUCACAAACUAUAUGCGAGUUGGCGUGGUGCUGUGCCAAAUGUAAGGAUUCAACGGAAUGUCCUCAUUUCGCGGAUGAUUUAUGUGGUGCAGUUUCAUUGCCGUAAGCUGGUGUGUAGUAAUUGCACGUGAGGAUAGACAUUCGCCUUGAAUGAGUAGAUGUUUGUGUCUCACGGAGUGUGCCUUGAAUAAAUCAAAGUGCUUAAAGCAGGCUAUACGCUUGAAUGUUAAAGCAUGGAACGAACAAUCGUGUAGGGUGCAUGAUGAUUUAUGGGUGACUGGCCCAGCCAGCAUUCAUCAUUGUGUGACACCGACCACCAGUAACGGAUGUUGGUUCCGUAUUGGGGUAUUGAUUAAGAGGAGCGGUUGGGGGCAUUGGUAUUUGGCAGCGAGAGGUGAAAUUCUUGGACCUGCCAAGGACUAACAAAUGCGAAGGCAUCUGUCCAGACCGUAUCCAUUAAUCAAGAACGAUAGUGAGAGGUUCGAAGACGAUCAGAUACCGUCCUAGUUCUCACUGUAAACCAUGCCGACCCGGGAUCAGUUUGGAGCUUUAUUCCAUGCUCGGAGUUGGUCCCCCUGGGAAACCUAAAGUUUUUCGGUUGCGGGGGGAGUAUGGUCGCAAGGCUGAAACUUAAAGGAAUUGACGGAAGGGCACCACCAGGGGUGGAGCCUGCGGCUUAAUUUGACUCAACACGGGAAAACUUACCUGGUCCGAACAUCCGUAGGAUACACAGACUAAUAGAUCUUUGUUGAUGGGGUGAAAAGUGGUGCAUGGCCGUUCUUAGUUCGUGGAGUG
This 1422-nucleotide ribosomal RNA is filed under the name Myxobolus sp. Its description in RNAcentral is "SSU rRNA". It matches the Rfam family "Eukaryotic small subunit ribosomal RNA", at positions 5 to 1308 of the family's 1831-position model. The record is from RNAcentral. Lineage: Eukaryota; Metazoa; Cnidaria; Myxozoa; Bivalvulida; Myxobolidae.